GCCAGGCGUGGUGGUGCAUGCCUGUAAUCCCAGCUACUUGGGAGGCUGAGGUGGGAGAAUCGCUUCAGCCCAGGAGGUCGAGGCUGCAGUGAGCUUUGAUUGCACCACUGCACUCCAGCCUGGGUGACAGAGCAAAACCCUGUCUCUA
Pan troglodytes (chimpanzee) is the source of this 148-nucleotide non-coding RNA. It matches the Rfam family "Metazoan signal recognition particle RNA". From Rfam's summary of the family: The signal recognition particle (SRP) is a universally conserved ribonucleoprotein. It is involved in the co-translational targeting of proteins to membranes. The eukaryotic SRP consists of a 300-nucleotide 7S RNA and six proteins: SRPs 72, 68, 54, 19, 14, and 9. Lineage: Eukaryota; Metazoa; Chordata; Mammalia; Primates; Hominidae. The record is from Rfam.